RNAcentral lists this ribosomal RNA (791 nucleotides) under uncultured bacterium. RNAcentral's name for it is "bacterial SSU rRNA". It matches the Rfam family "Bacterial small subunit ribosomal RNA", at positions 8 to 796 of the family's 1533-position model. The record is from RNAcentral.
AGAGUUUGAUCAUGGCUCAGAUUGAACGCUGGCGGCAUGCCUUACACAUGCAAGUCGAACGGCAGCACGGGGGCAACCCUGGUGGCGAGUGGCGAACGGGUGAGUAAUAUAUCGGAACAUGUCCUGUAGCGGGGGAUAACCUAUCGAAAGAUGGACUAAUACCGCAUACGAUCUAUGGAUGAAAGCGGAGGACCGCAAGGCUUCGCACUAUAGGAGUGGCCGAUAUCGGAUUAGCUAGUUGGCGGGGUAAAAGCCCACCAAGGCGACGAUCCGUAGCUGGUCUGAGAGGAUGAUCAGCCACACUGGAACUGAGACACGGUCCAGACUCCUACGGGAGGCAGCAGUGGGGAAUUUUGGACAAUGGGCGCAAGCCUGAUCCAGCCAUGCCGCGUGAGUGAAGAAGGCCUUCGGGUUGUAAAGCUCUUUCGGCAGGAACGAAAUGGUUCGUGCUAAUACCACGGACUGAUGACGGUACCUGAAGAAGAAGCACCGGCUAACUACGUGCCAGCAGCCGCGGUAAUACGUAGGGUGCAGGCGUUAAUCGGAAUUACUGGGCGUAAAGCGUGCGCAGGCGGUUUCUUAAGUCAGAUGUGAAAGCCCCGGGCUUAACCUGGGAACUGCGUUUGAAACUGGGAGACUCGAGUGUAGCAGAGGGGGGUGGAAUUCCACGUAGCAGUGAAAUGCGUAGAUAUGUGGAGGAACACCGAUGGCGAAGGCAGCCCCCUGGGUUAACACUGACGCUCAUGCACGAAAGCGUGGGGAGCAAACAGGAUUAGAUACCCUAGUAGUCC